Molecule: long non-coding RNA, 548 nt
Filed under: Phoenix dactylifera (date palm)
Lineage: Eukaryota; Viridiplantae; Streptophyta; Magnoliopsida; Arecales; Arecaceae
Description: long non-coding RNA (PDAC_LNC015694)
Source: RNAcentral
GAGAUGAGAGAGAGUUUGGUGGGAGAAGAAGAGGAGAAAGGUAGAAGUCAAUGGUGUACUGGAGUCCUCGCUAGCUCUGUUGAGAGUAUUAUAUAGAUGGGAGGAAGAGAGCUGUGGGAUGAGACAUGGGUUAGUUUGAGAGAUUGGAGGGUGAGUGGGGACCACACUGACUUGGUCAUGGGGGCACAAGGACUUAAGGAUGAUAAGAGAGAGAAAGUUAAGAUGUCUCUUUUUGGUAGUUUGAGGGGUCAUGCAGAUAGGGCGAAGGAGUUAGAGAAAAUAUGAGAUUAGGAGAGAGAAAAGAUGGCAAGAACCUUAAAUUGUUUUCAACUUGACUCUUUCGCUCAAUGCUUGGCCUAAACAAUUAGGCAUUGGCAGCCACAGGGAUGAUUUAUCAUGAUGUGGUUAAGUGAGGUUCUCUUUAUUUGGGUAUGGACCAAUAUGAUUAAUAUUGAAGAUAGCCUACAAAUAUGAUGAGACGCUUACAUAGUGUGCUGCCGUAGCUUAUGAAGCUAGAACUGGCUUGACAAAUUGGUGCAGGCCGCACA